Molecule: ribosomal RNA, 425 nt
Filed under: uncultured bacterium
Lineage: Bacteria
Description: bacterial SSU rRNA
Rfam family: Bacterial small subunit ribosomal RNA
Source: RNAcentral
CAAUCCAUGAGUAAAGUGGCGACCGGGUGAGUAACACGUGACUAACCUACCUUCGAGUGGGGGAUAACCUCGGGAAACCGAGGCUAAUACCGCAUAACAUCGCAAGAUCAAAGCAGCAAUGCGCUGGAAGAGGGGGUCGCGGCUGAUUAGCUAGUUGGCGGGGUAACGGCCCACCAAGGCGAAGAUCGGUAUCCGGCCUGAGAGGGCGCACGGACACACUGGAACUGAAACACGGUCCAGACUCCUACGGGAGGCAGCAGUGGGGAAUUUUGCGCAAUGGGGGAAACCCUGACGCAGCAACGCCGCGUGGAGGAUGAAGCCCCUUGGGGCGUAAACUCCUUUCGACCAAGACGAUAAUGACGGUACUGGUGGAAGAAGCACCGGCUAACUCUGUGCCAGCAGCCGCGGUAAUACAGAGGGUGCGA